This 601-nucleotide ribosomal RNA is filed under the name Pseudomonas sp. E6FA10. Its description in RNAcentral is "bacterial SSU rRNA". It matches the Rfam family "Bacterial small subunit ribosomal RNA", at positions 86 to 683 of the family's 1533-position model. Lineage: Bacteria; Pseudomonadati; Pseudomonadota; Gammaproteobacteria; Pseudomonadales; Pseudomonadaceae. The record is from RNAcentral.
CUCUUGAGAGCGGCGGACGGGUGAGUAAUGCCUAGGAAUCUGCCUGGUAGUGGGGGAUAACGUUCGGAAACGGACGCUAAUACCGCAUACGUCCUACGGGAGAAAGCAGGGGACCUUCAGGCCUUGCGCUAUCAUAUGAGCCUAGGUCGGAUUAUCUAGUUGGUGAGGUAAUGGCUCACCAAGGCGACGAUCCGUAACUGGUCUGAGAGGAUGAUCAGUCACACUGGAACUGAGACACGGUCCAGACUCCUACGGGAGGCAGCAGUGGGGAAUAUUGGACAAUGGGCGAAAGCCUGAUCCAGCCAUGCCGCGUGUGUGAAGAAGGUCUUCGGAUUGUAAAGCACUUUAAGUUGGGAGGAAGGGCAGUUACCUAAUACGUGAUUGUUUUGACGUUACCGACAGAAUAAGCACCGGCUAACUCUGUGCCAGCAGCCGCGGUAAUACAGAGGGUGCAAGCGUUAAUCGGAAUUACUGGGCGUAAAGCGCGCGUAGGUGGUUUGUUAAGUUGGAUGUGAAAUCCCCGGGCUCAACCUGGGAACUGCAUUCAAAACUGACUGACUAGAGUGUGGUAGAGGGUGGUGGAAUUUCCUGUGUAGCGGUG